This 5013-nucleotide long non-coding RNA is filed under the name Sus scrofa (pig). Its description in RNAcentral is "lncRNA (ENSSSCG00050008450.1)". Lineage: Eukaryota; Metazoa; Chordata; Mammalia; Artiodactyla; Suidae. The record is from RNAcentral.
UUUUUUUUUUAAUUUUAUGGCAGUGCCCACAGCAUGCAGAAGUUCUGAGGCUAGGGAUCAAACCCAUACCAUAGCAGUGGCAAUGCUGGACCUUAACCCACUGACCCACCAAGGAACUCUCCUUUAGCAUUCUAUGAAAACUUUCUUUGUGCUUCUUAGUUGGACAAUCUUUUGCACAAGUGUUUAUGUUAAUGUGUUGAUUUAAAUGUUGACAAACACUUAGACAUAAAUGGAAAUAGUGUACUCCCCAUAUAAAGAGAAUUGGGGCACAAAUUUUAUGAUAUUUUUAAUUUUUUCCCUGGGGCAAUAUUACAAAACGAGUCCAUUUACUGUCCCCAGUUAUUAAGCAGAUAUGGAUAUAGCAACCAUCAGAGAAGAAAGGAACAUCUUUGUAACAUCUCACAUAUGUUUUUGUGGAUACAGAAUAAAAUGUCUUCCCCUGAUAAUUAGAAAUAGUUCAUAAAAUCAGUUGGUCUGUGUGUAUCACAUAAAGGCAAUAAAAAAACUACAGUUUGCUGGUUGGAAGCAAAUUGUAAGAUGUUUGAUGUCUUGACAGUGGUGUGUAAUCAGUAAAUAAGAAAGUCAUUAGUUGUCUGUGUUGUGUAACAAGUGACCAGAAACUUAGAAGUUUAAAAUAAUACACAUUCAUCCUCUCACAGUUUCAGUGGUAUAGAUGUCUAGGCAUAGGUUAAAAAGGGUUAUAUGUUUAGGGUGCCCAAUAUUGUGAUUUAUUAAAAAUAUGUUUUUUCAUCAUUCAUAAGACUGAAAUAUAUUUUCCAGGUAUAUUCGGUCUUAGUCCAUAGUUUCUGACUCCCAGCUCCCAGAACCUUGUGAUUUCCUAGUGUUGAGAGUGAUAAAGUGUCUUUGGUUAUGUUAACUAGGUGACUUUUGGUCACUCCUAAGGAUAGGGCUUGGUAACUAGUGGAGCCAAUCACAUGAUGAACAUACCUGGGAGAGGGAAUGGGAGUAGAGAUUAAGUUGAAUCUCCAGUUGUCAAUGAUUUAACCAGUCAUGUGUAUGGAUAAAAUCUCCAUAAAAAUAAACCUAAGAAUAAGGGUUUCUGAGAGCUUCUGGGUUGUGAGCAUGUGGAGUUGCUGGGACAGUGAUGCACCUGGAGAGGGGAUGGGAGCUCCCAGCCCUUUCUCUCUGCCUCACCCAUGCAUUUCUUCCAUGGCUUUUUCUGAGUUAUAUCAUUUUAUAAACCUCUGAUAUAAUAAGUAAAAUGUUUCUCUGAGUGCUGUGAACUGUUCUAGCAAAUUAACCAAGCCCAAAAUGAGGACUAUGGGAAUCUCUGAUUUAUAGCUGAUUGGUCAGAAGUACAGGUAACAACCUGGGCUUGUGAGUAGCAUGUGAAAGGAUGGCAUAGGGGAAGUGACAGUUUUGCAGGACUAAUCCUUAACCUGUGGAAUCUGAUGCUGUCUCCUAGUAGAUAGUGUCAGAAUUGAGUUGAAUUCUUGGACACUAACCUGGUGUCCCAUGAAUUGCUUGGUACUGGAUGGGAAGCCCACUCCCUGCCACACACAUCCCACAUUGGGAUAGGUUUCCGUACACUCAUUGAGGUCUCACAAGUCUGCAGUCAAGGUGGGAGCCCGGGCUGAGUUCUCAUCAGAACUUCUCAUCAGACUCAGUAGUAAGUGUCAUUACGAAUUUCCUUUAGGUUGUUUGCAGAAUUCAUUUCCUUAUGGCAAUAGUAUUCCAGCAACUUGUUUCUUCAAAGCCCACAAGAGAAAGAGACUAGAGCAAGCCACGUAUCAAGACAAGAGUCUAAUCUAAUGUAAUGUAAUCAAUGCAGUGGCAUCCCAUUGCCUUGACAUGUUCUACUGGUUGAAAAUAAGCCACCAGUCCUACCCACAGUAAAGGCAAGGGAAUUAUACAAGGGCACCAAGAGGUGGAAGCAUGGGGCCACUUUAAAUUCUGAUCUCCACUGGGGAGGAAAACAGACAUAAGGAAAAACAUAUAAUCACAGCACCUUAGUGCAUGUAUCCAAUUAAAGACUUUGUAUAAUUUCUAGAAGAAAUAUACCAUUAAUGAUCCAAAUGACGGUUGUACACUGUGGCUGAUUCUGUAUUAGAACCACACUUUUUGUGAGUAUCCCUUUAUGUAUAAGGAAGUGCAGGUGUAUACUGAGAAGAAAGAAUUUCAGGAAGGUAAGAUGACAUCCCUCAGGUGGAUUCUGAAGCUCUAAUUUUGAUAAAUUAAUCUACCUUUAAAAGGCUUUAAUUCUCUCUAAUACAUCUUGAGAAAGGAGUACUAUCUUAAACUGUUAAAAUUCUUUUAUAUCUUAAUAUAAUGGGGGAUUUGAUUAAACGGCUCCAGCAGAGAGCGAGCCAGUAAGACAGCAUGAGACAUGAGAAAGAGGACAAGAGGGAAAAACAGGAGUUUGAAAACAUCAUAAUUUUGCAGGGCUUUCCUUAUCUUUUCAUAGUAGAUUAUUAUGUACAGACAGUUAUUUCUCAUUAUAUUUAAUCAAAAUUCCAAGCCAUAUAAGAAUAUAAUUAUAACUUAGUAUAUACAUUUAUUUACAUGGCAAAUGAAUCUAAUGGUGGAGAGGGAACAUAAUGUGGAGAGACAAGCAUAUUAUCAGACACUGUGAUUGAAGUACAUGAGGUAAACUCCAUCUCUACUAGAAAUCUCACUGGGGACAAUAGGAAAAAAAAGGCAAGGCAGAGAAUCAAGAAAGGCUUCAAAAGAUGAGGGCAUGGAGAAUAGGCUGGCUGAUCAUCCAGGAGGAUGCAAAGCAAGUGAGCAAGGACUAACUUAACACUUGUAUCGGUUCUUAUGGACUGGGAGAGAUCCUGGCUCUAAGUAAGUCCUAAGCUCUCAACAGGCAUUGUUUUGGGCACCAUAGAGGAAAAUUCAGCAGGUUUCUAGUGACAGAAUGAUGCUAAACUUUUCAAUGGUUAGGCAAUGGAAACCUUUAUUUAGAGGCAGAUCCUGGAAAGAGUGGAAUUUUAUGAGAACUCCAUUAUACUGCUCACCAGCUUCUUAAAUACUUUCAGGCAAUGUCAGAAAAGCAUGUGAAAUAUUUUUGACCAGUCAACAUAACUUGAACACCAUUCAUUUCAGCAAUAUAAAGUUACUUCUAACACUCUGAUGCUAAUUAUUAUACCCUCCAGUAUUAGUUUACAGGACAAUAGUUGAAUGGCUAGUAUGGCUAGAUCUGGAGUUUGGUCUCCAAACAAUGUAACAGUUAUUCAUAAAGGUAGCAGAGCUCGCUUAUAUGGUCUUGCAUUUUCUCUGAGAAAAAUUUUAAAAUCUGGAUUUAAAAAGACUAUAGAAAAUAUUUAUUGCUUAAUACAAUGUAUAUAUUCUCAGUAGAAAAUAAAGUCAAAAUAAUAAUUAGUUCUUAUCCCUGGAGACGGUUAUUUUCCACAAUGAGAUUUGGCAGAAAGAGACUCUUGAAGCUAUUAGAAACUUUGUCUCAAUAAAUAUAAGGCAAAUUCACAAAGUUUUUCCAAGUUCUAAUUGACUUAUUCCAUAUGAAAAAAAAAUAAAAUGAAUUUAGCAUAAAUUAUAUUUUAUAUAUAUAUAUACACACACACAUAUAUAUACUGUACAUUAAAAAUAUUAUGGGAAUAGGAACUACACUUAUAAAACAAUAAUUUUGUUUUUAACCAACUCACGAUGUAGUUUUGUCAAACUUUAAAAUUUCUGAACCAAGUGUUAUUUCCCUUUGAGCCAGUUGGCCAAACAAGGCACAUCCCCUGAUCUUGGAGGUUGAUUGUUUUGUCCACUGAAUUGAGAAUCUGAUUUCCUCAUUUGAUUAAAUAAGUUAAACCUAUCAAAAGUAGGGAGUCAUUUUUCAACUUUUAAAAUCUUAACCAGCAGCAUUUUACUGUUAAAUCAUGAAAUUGUUUACCUUAAUUGUACCCAUUAAGGUGUUUUAGGAAAACUCCAAAGCCAGAAAGGAGGACUUAGUUUAUUUCCUGUUUUAUUUUCUUUAUCCCAUGCCAUACUUAACUGCCAUUGUCAUUACUGACAUAGUUCUGCUGGGAAUUUAGCCAUGCAGGGAGCAAUAAAUCUGUUAUUUGAAAAGAUUCUUUGGAAGGAAACAUGAAGAAUUUUGUAAAUUUAUUGGGACAGCAUAAAGUGAAUAACAUCUUAAAAUACUUGGGAAAGGACCAAGUUAUAUUACUAAAGGGGAAAGAGAGAACAAGAAUGAGCCUUGAGUAAGCAGAGAACAUCAUAAAUCAUAUAGGAUAGCUCUGUGCUUUUAUUCCUGAGUCCAUAUGUUCUACUCAAAGAAAAACAAUGUGGAACAAUUUAGCAUUAUUUUGCACAGCUCGAGGAGGGCCUGAGAAUUCCCUAUAACAGCUAAGUAACAUCAUUUAUAACUUUAAUAUCAAUACCUUUGGGUUUGUUUCUAAGUUUUGCUCAGCUCUAUCUAAAAACAAAUUUAUUUUCAACUUUUUUAAGAAAUAUUCUAACUUUGAGGAUCAGGAACAAGGAAUAGCAAAAUGUUGCAUCCAUCAGAAAUCAAUUUUUUUUAAAACAUCUUUUUUCAAUAAACUGCAAAGAUCUUGUGAACCAAGAAUGUAAAAUUUGUAUUUUGCUGUAUUCCUCUACUGUUAUCUUGUGUAUAUAGCAUAUAUAAUUGAUUAUAAAUUGAAUAUUUGAUAUUUAUCAUUGACAUAUUGUAUAUUCAUAUAUAAAACAUAUGUAUCUUUAAGAAUAUUGGUAACAUUUCUUUUAAUAACAUAAAGUAAGUAAUAUUAUAAAAAUGAUGGGUACCCUGGGGUAAAAGUGUAGAGCAAGGAGAAGGGAAUUGAGGACUUUGGGGGAGAGGGCAAUAAGUUGCAAUCUUCUAAAAGGGCACAUGCAUGCGUUUAUUAUUCAGGGUCUGGUUGUUAGUGGAAGUCCUAUGCACAGUGAGGCCAAACAAACCAAAACACUGGUGUUUGGAGCAGUGAAAGGUUUAUGGCAGGGCCAUGCAAGGAGAUAGUUGGUUGUGCCCCUAAAAUAUCCCCACUCCCCUAACCAAAAUUGCAAAGCCUCUUUUAAAGGUAAGGUGAG